This is a non-coding RNA of Balaenoptera musculus (blue whale), 74 nucleotides long. The record is from the annotation of a RefSeq genome assembly. Lineage: Eukaryota; Metazoa; Chordata; Mammalia; Artiodactyla; Balaenopteridae.
UCCCUGGUGGUCCAGUGGUUAGGAUUCCGGGCUUGCACUGCCGGGGGGCCCAGGUUCGAUCCCUGGUUGGGGAA